UAGGGAAUAUUGCACAAUGGGCGAAAGCCUGAUGCAGCAACGCCGCGUGUGUGAUGAAGGCCUUCGGGUCGUAAAGCACUUUCUGGGAGAUGAGAAAGGACAGUAUCCCAGGAAUAAGUCUCGGCUAACUACGUGCCAGCAGCCGCGGUAAAACGUAGGAGGCGAGCGUUAUCCGGAUUCACUGGGCGUAAAGCGCGUGCAGGUGGCGCGGUAAGUUAGGCGUGAAAGCUCCCGGCUCAACUGGGAGAGGUCGCCUAAUACUACCGUGCUUGAGAGCAGAAGAGGAAGAUGGAAUUCCCGGUGUAGUGGUGAAAUGCGUAGAUAUCGGGAGGAACACCAGUGGCGAAGGCGAUCUUCUGGUCUGUUUCUGACACUCAGACGCGACAGCUAGGGUAGUAAACGGGAUUAGAGACCCCGGUAAUCCUAGCCGUAAACGAUGUGAACUUGGCGUUGGUGGGUUAAACUCCAUCAGUGCCGCAGCAAACGCGA
RNAcentral lists this ribosomal RNA (489 nucleotides) under uncultured Chloroflexota bacterium. RNAcentral describes it as "bacterial SSU rRNA". It matches the Rfam family "Bacterial small subunit ribosomal RNA", at positions 355 to 860 of the family's 1533-position model. Lineage: Bacteria; Bacillati; Chloroflexota. The record is from RNAcentral.